RNAcentral lists this ribosomal RNA (808 nucleotides) under uncultured bacterium. RNAcentral's name for it is "bacterial SSU rRNA". It matches the Rfam family "Bacterial small subunit ribosomal RNA", at positions 644 to 1451 of the family's 1533-position model. The record is from RNAcentral.
GAGUGCAGANGGGGAGAGUGGAAUUCCAUGUGUAGCGGUGAAAUGCGUAGAUAUAUGGAGGAACACCAGUGGCGAAAGCGGCUNUCUGGUCUGUCACUGACGCUGAGGCUCGAAAGCGUGGGUAGCGAACAGGAUUAGAUACCCUGGUAGUNCACGCCGUAAACGAUGAGUGCUAGGUGUUAGGCCCUUUCCGGGGCUUAGUGCCGGAGCUAACGCAAUAAGCACUCCGCCUGGGGAGUACGACCGCAAGGUUGAAACUCAAAGGAAUUGACGGGGGCCCGCACAAGCGGUGGAGCAUGUGGUUUAAUUCGAAGCAACGCGAAGAACCUUACCAGGUCUUGACAUCCCGAUGCUAUUCUUAGAGAUAGGAAGUUACUUCGGUACAUCGGAGACAGGUGGUGCAUGGUUGUCGUCAGCUCGUGUCGUGAGAUGUUGGGUUAAGUCCCGCAACGAGCGCAACCCUUAUUGUUAGUUGCCAUCAUUAAGUUGGGCACUCUAGCGAGACUGCCGGUAAUAAACCGGAGGAAGGUGGGGAUGACGUCAAAUCAUCAUGCCCCUUAUGACCUGGGCUACACACGUGCUACAAUGGUCGGUACCACGAGUUGCGAGCCGGUGACGGCAAGCUAAUCUCUGAAAGCCGAUCUCAGUUCGGAUUGGAGGCUGCAACUCGCCUCCAUGAAGUCGGAAUCGCUAGUAAUCGCGGAUCAGCACGCCGCGGUGAAUACGUUCCCGGGCCUUGUACACACCGCCCGUCACACCACGAGAGUUUGUAACACCCGAAGUCGGUGAGGUAACCUUUUAGGGNCCA